UUCUCCUCUAUAUAUAUAUAUAUAUAUGUACAACAACCAUUCCUCUUACACCUAUCUCCACAAUUUCUUGACCAAAAACAAUGGCCACUUUCUCUCUGGUUUCAUUCUUUUUUUCCCCCAAAUGAUACACAUUUUGAUUUUAUUUAAGCCAAGACCAACGUAUACGCUCACCACCAUUCAUAUUAAAAGGUUUUGUUUGUAUACAUAUAUUCCAUAUAUAUAAGGAUUUAUAUAUAGUCGUGCCUGGCUCCCUGUAUGCCACAAGAAAACAUCGAUUUAGUUACAAAAUCGAUCACUAGUGGCGUACAGAGUAGUCAAGCAUGACCAAAACUUUUCUUGAUAUAUAAGUACUGUGUCUCCAUAAAACAGCUACGUACUAUGCAUGGAUGGUACGUCUAAUUGUCUAUAAGCUUUCUGUUAAAUAUAUAUGCAUGGAUAUUGGAUUGUGCUUGGGUCUCGAGUGCUCUUUUUUUGUGGUACUCAUAUCUUCAUCAUUUUUCAAACAUUCUUUAUUUUGGCAAUGUUCCAUUCGUUUUAGUAAUUAAAAAAAAAACGCUAACGGUUUGAUAUUCAUUUUGUUUGCAAUUAUUUAUGGCGGUCAAAAGUACGUUGAACAAUCGUUGAGUUUGUCGGCAAAAUUUUAUUUUAUCACGUGACCUUCCAGCUCAUCAGUCAUCAAGAGGGUCUAAGCCUGGUCAAAGCUUUAGAAUGAGUUAGAGGUUCUUGACAAAGUGAAUGCUCCUUUUCCUCCGAGCGGGUUUUAGAAGACAUUGCAUGCGAUGUGUUGUAUGUUGUCUCUCUUGUGUGACAGAAGAAACAGAGAACACAACACAUCUGUCUCGCCUUUUCCUUUCAUACAUUUGUGUCCUUCCCAAAUUUCUACUCUUUUUUGUUUUUUAAUGUUUCUUUCCUCAAAAUCAUCGACACUGAUUAGAGACUAUACUUCUAGAGGUAUGUAUGUAAAGUAAAUUAAUCAAUAUUUACAAAUUGUAUUAUUAUAAUAUUGGAACAUCGAAUUUACGUUGUAAGUGGAUCAAUGAUAUUUGAUAGAUUUAUGUCU
Non-coding RNA from Camelina sativa (false flax), 1060 nucleotides. Lineage: Eukaryota; Viridiplantae; Streptophyta; Magnoliopsida; Brassicales; Brassicaceae. The record is from RefSeq and is a predicted model, not a curated record.